AGUGGCGAACGGGUGAGUAAUACAUCGGAACGUACCUUAUCGUGGGGGAUAACGCAGCGAAAGCUGUGCUAAUACCGCAUACGCCCUGAGGGGGAAAGCGGGGGAUCGAAAGACCUCGCGCGAUUAGAGCGGCCGAUGCCUGAUUAGCUUGUUGGUGGGGUAAAAGCCCACCAAGGCGACGAUCAGUAGCUGGUCUGAGAGGACGAUCAGCCACACUGGGACUGAGACACGGCCCAGACUCCUACGGGAGGCAGCAGUGGGGAAUUUUGGACAAUGGGGGAAACCCUGAUCCAGCAAUGCCGCGUGAGUGAAGAAGGCCUUCGGGUUGUAAAGCUCUUUUGUCAGGGAAGAAACACCGGCUCUAACACAGUCCGGGAAUGACGGUACCUGAAGAAUAAGCACCGGCUAACUACGUGCCAGCAGCCGCGGUAAUACGUAGGGUGCGAGCGUUAAUCGGAAUUACUGGGCGUAAAGCGUGCGCAGGCGGUUAUACAAGACAGGCGUGAAAUCCCCGGGCUUAACCUGGGAAUGGCGCCUGUGACUGUAUAGCUAGAGUGUGUCAGAGGGGGGUAGAAUUCCACGUGUAGCAGUGAAAUGCGUAGAUAUGUGGAGGAAUACCAAUGGCGAAGGCAGCCCCCUGGGAUAACACUGACGCUCAUGCACGAAAGCGUGGGGAGCAAACAGGAUUAAAUACCCUGGU
This 700-nucleotide ribosomal RNA is filed under the name uncultured beta proteobacterium. RNAcentral's name for it is "bacterial SSU rRNA". It matches the Rfam family "Bacterial small subunit ribosomal RNA", at positions 94 to 791 of the family's 1533-position model. The record is from RNAcentral. Lineage: Bacteria; Pseudomonadati; Pseudomonadota; Betaproteobacteria.